AUACGGAGGAUGCGAGCGUUAUCCGGAUUCAUUGGGUUUAAAGGGUGCGUAGGCGGAAUAAUAAGUCAGGGGUGAAAGUCUGCGGCUCAACCGUAAAAUUGCCUUUGAUACUGUUAUUCUUGAGUACACGCGAGGUAUGCGGAAUGUGAUGUGUAGCGGUGAAAUGCUUAGAUAUAUCACAGAACACCGAUUGCGAAGGCAGCAUACUAGAGUGUCACUGACGCUGAUGCACGGAAGCGUGGGUAUCGAACAGGAUUAGAAACCCCAGUAGUCC
This 274-nucleotide ribosomal RNA is filed under the name uncultured bacterium. RNAcentral describes it as "partial 16S ribosomal RNA". It matches the Rfam family "Bacterial small subunit ribosomal RNA", at positions 523 to 796 of the family's 1533-position model. The record is from RNAcentral.